UUCGGAUGGUGGACAGUGGCGCACGGGUGAGCAACACGUGGGGACCUGCCUGAUAGUAAGGAAAAACAGUUGGAAACGACUGCUAAUACCUUAUACGCCCUUCGGGGGAAAGAUUUAUCGCUAUCAGAUGGACCCGCGCUAGAUUAGAUAGUUGGUGAGGUAAUGGCUCACCAAGUCUGCGAUCUAUAGCUGGUUUGAGAAGAUGAUCAGCCACAUUGGGACUGAGACACGGCCCAGACUCCUACGGGAGGCAGCAGUGGGGAAUAUUGUACAAUGGGGGCAACCCUGAUACAGCAAUGCCGCGUGAGUGAAGAAGGCCUUAGGGUUGUAAAACUCUUUCGCUAGGGAAGAUAAUGACGGUACCUAGUAAAGAAGUCCCGGCUAACUCCGUGCCAGCAGCCGCGGUAAUACGGAGGGGACUAGCGUUGUUCGGAAUUACUGGGCGUAAAGAGUUCGUAGGCGGAUAAGCAAGUAA
This 475-nucleotide ribosomal RNA is filed under the name uncultured Alphaproteobacteria bacterium. RNAcentral's name for it is "bacterial SSU rRNA". It matches the Rfam family "Bacterial small subunit ribosomal RNA", at positions 79 to 590 of the family's 1533-position model. Lineage: Bacteria; Pseudomonadati; Pseudomonadota; Alphaproteobacteria. The record is from RNAcentral.